This 186-nucleotide unclassified non-coding RNA is filed under the name plant metagenome. RNAcentral describes it as "partial contains small subunit ribosomal RNA and internal transcribed spacer 1". The stretch from base 1 to 46 matches the Rfam family "Eukaryotic small subunit ribosomal RNA", at positions 1786 to 1831 of the family's 1831-position model. The record is from RNAcentral.
AAGUCAUAACAAGGUUUCCGUAGGUGAACCUGCGGAAGGAUCAUUAAUGAUGCCCUCGAAGUCUUUGGACUGGUAGGGUUGUGUCGGUCUCUUCGGAGUCGACCUCAUCUCACACACCGUGAACUGUGGCUUCGGCCAUUUACACAAACUGUUAGUAAUGAAUGUAAUAUCAUAACAAACAUAAAA